This 148-nucleotide signal recognition particle RNA is filed under the name Homo sapiens (human). RNAcentral describes it as "Metazoan signal recognition particle RNA". It matches the Rfam family "Metazoan signal recognition particle RNA". From Rfam's summary of the family: The signal recognition particle (SRP) is a universally conserved ribonucleoprotein. It is involved in the co-translational targeting of proteins to membranes. The record is from Rfam by way of RNAcentral. Lineage: Eukaryota; Metazoa; Chordata; Mammalia; Primates; Hominidae.
GCCGGGCAUGGUGGUGCAUGCCUGUAAUCCCAGCUACUCAGGAGGCUGAGGCAGGAGAAUCACUUGGACCCAGGAGGCGGAGGUUGCAGUGAGCCAAGAUUGCACCAUUGCACUCCAGCCUGGGUGACAGAGUGAGACCCUGUCUCAA